Molecule: transfer RNA, 87 nt
Filed under: Candidatus Midichloria sp.
Lineage: Bacteria; Pseudomonadati; Pseudomonadota; Alphaproteobacteria; Rickettsiales; Candidatus Midichloriaceae
Description: tRNA-Leu
Rfam family: tRNA
About the family: Transfer RNA (tRNA) molecules are approximately 80 nucleotides in length.
Source: RNAcentral
GCCCCUGUGGCGGAAUGGUAGACGCGACAGACUCAAAAUCUGUUGUCCAUUGUGGGUGUGCUGGUUCGAGUCCUGCCAGGGGCACCA